RNAcentral lists this ribosomal RNA (497 nucleotides) under uncultured bacterium. Its description in RNAcentral is "partial 16S ribosomal RNA". It matches the Rfam family "Bacterial small subunit ribosomal RNA", at positions 28 to 507 of the family's 1533-position model. The record is from RNAcentral.
GAUGAACGCUGGCGGCGUGCCUAAUACAUGCAAGUCGAGCGAACAGACGAGGAGCUUGCUCCUCUGACGUUAGCGGCGGACAGGUGAGUAACACGUGGAUAACCUACCUAUAAGACUGGGAUAACUUCGGGAAACCGGAGCUAAUACCGGAUAAUAUAUUGAACCGCAUGGUUCAAUAGUGAAAGACGGUUUUGCUGUCACUUAUAGAUGGAUCCGCGCCGCAUUAGCUAGUUGGUAAGGUAACGGCUUACCAAGGCGACGAUGCGUAGCCGACCUGAGAGGGUGAUCGGCCACACUGGAACUGAGACACGGUCCAGACUCCUACGGGAGGCAGCAGUAGGGAAUCUUCCGCAAUGGGCGAAAGCCUGACGGAGCAACGCCGCGUGAGUGAUGAAGGUCUUCGGAUCGUAAAACUCUGUUAUUAGGGAAGAACAAAUGUGUAAGUAACUAUGCACGUCUUGACAGUACCUAAUCAGAAAGCCACGGCUAACUACGUG